AGGCGAAGUCCCGGGAGCUGC
Molecule: unclassified non-coding RNA, 21 nt
Filed under: Chlamydomonas reinhardtii
Lineage: Eukaryota; Viridiplantae; Chlorophyta; Chlorophyceae; Chlamydomonadales; Chlamydomonadaceae
Description: small RNA Cre_0557
Source: RNAcentral